RNAcentral lists this ribosomal RNA (408 nucleotides) under uncultured bacterium. RNAcentral describes it as "partial 16S ribosomal RNA". It matches the Rfam family "Bacterial small subunit ribosomal RNA", at positions 28 to 526 of the family's 1533-position model. The record is from RNAcentral.
GACGAACGCUGGCGGCGUGCUUAACACAUGCAAGUCGAACGAAGUGGCGAACGGGUGAGUAACGCGUAAUCAACCUGCCCUUCAGAGGGGGACAACAGUUGGAAACGACUGCUAAUACCGCAUACUGAAGGAGGUGCUUGCGUCUGAUUAGCUGGUUGGGGGGGUAACGGCCCACCAAGGCGAUGAGCAGUAGCCGGUUUGAGAAGAAGAACGGCCAAAUUGGGACUGAGACACGGCCCCGAAGCCUACGGGAGGCAGCAGGGGGGAAUCUGCCGAAAUGGACGGAAGUCUGAAGGAGCAACGCCGCGGGAGUGAUGAAGGCCUUCGGGGUGUAAAGCUCUGUUAAUCGGGACGCGGUACCGGAAUAGAAAGCCACGGCUAACUACGUGCCAGCCGCCGCGGUAAUUC